AUUGAACGCUGGCGGAAUGCUUUACACAUGCAAGUCGAACGGCAGCACGGGGCAACCUGGUGGCGAGUGGCGAACGGGUGAGUAAUACAUCGGAACGUGCCCAGUCGUGGGGGAUAACGUAGCGAAAGUUACGCUAAUACCGCAUACGAUCUACGGAUGAAAGCGGGGGAUCGCAAGACCUCGCGCGAUUGGAGCGGCCGAUGUCAGAUUAGGUAGUUGGUGGGGUAAAGGCCUACCAAGCCGACGAUCUGUAGCUGGUCUGAGAGGACGACCAGCCACACUGGGACUGAGACACGGUCCAGACUCCUACGGGAGGCAGCAGUGGGGAAUUUUGGACAAUGGGGGCAACCCUGAUCCAGCCAUGCCGCGUGAGUGAAGAAGGCCUUCGGUUGUAAGACUCUUUCGGUCCGGGAAGAAAGUCGUAUGGGUUAAGUACCCUGUGCGGAUGACGGUACCGGCAUAAGAAGCACCGGCUAACUACGUGCCAGCAGCCGCGGUAAGAGUA
This 505-nucleotide ribosomal RNA is filed under the name uncultured bacterium. Its description in RNAcentral is "bacterial SSU rRNA". It matches the Rfam family "Bacterial small subunit ribosomal RNA", at positions 29 to 529 of the family's 1533-position model. The record is from RNAcentral.